This 86-nucleotide transfer RNA is filed under the name Comamonadaceae bacterium CG2_30_59_20. RNAcentral's name for it is "tRNA-Leu". It matches the Rfam family "tRNA". Rfam says of the family: Transfer RNA (tRNA) molecules are approximately 80 nucleotides in length. Their secondary structure includes four short double-helical elements and three loops (D, anti-codon, and T loops). Further hydrogen bonds mediate the characteristic L-shaped molecular structure. tRNAs have two regions of fundamental functional importance: the anti-codon, which is responsible for specific mRNA codon recognition, and the 3' end, to which the tRNAs corresponding amino acid is attached (by aminoacyl-tRNA synthetases). tRNAs cope with the degeneracy of the genetic code in two manners: having more than one tRNA (with a specific anti-codon) for a particular amino acid; and 'wobble' base-pairing, i.e. permitting non-standard base-pairing at the 3rd anti-codon position. RNAcentral also lists the same sequence under 1 other name. The record is from RNAcentral. Lineage: Bacteria; Pseudomonadati; Pseudomonadota; Betaproteobacteria; Burkholderiales; Comamonadaceae.
GCCCGAGUGGUGGAAUGGUUUACACAGCAGACUUAAAAUCUGUCCCCCGAGAGGGGUUGCCGGUUCGAGUCCGGCCUCGGGCACCA